CCUACGGGAGGCAGCAGUGAGGAAUAUUGGUCAAUGGGAGAAAUCCUGAACCAGCCAAGCAGCGUGCAGGAAGACGGCCCUAUGGGUUGUAAACCGCUUUUGUCCGAGAAUAAAGCCCCUUACGAGUCGCGCUUUGCAUGUAUCCGAAGAAAAAGCACCGGCUAAUUCCGUGCCAGCAGCCGCGGUAAUACGGAGGGUCCGGGCGUUAUCCGGAUUUAUUGGGUUUAAAGGGUGCGUAGGCCGGAUGUCAAGUGCGCGGUGAAAUGUCCGGGCUCAACCCCGGCCUAGCGGUGGGAACUGGCGGGCUUGAGUCCGCGGGAAGCAGGCGGAAUGCGUGGUGUAGCGGUGAAAUGCAUAGAUAUGGCGAAGAACUCCGAUUGCGAAGGCAGCGUGCCGGAGCCAAACUGACGCUGAGGCACGAAAGCGUGGGGAUCGAACAGGAUUAGAUACCCCAGUAGUC
This 460-nucleotide ribosomal RNA is filed under the name uncultured bacterium. RNAcentral describes it as "partial 16S ribosomal RNA". It matches the Rfam family "Bacterial small subunit ribosomal RNA", at positions 338 to 795 of the family's 1533-position model. The record is from RNAcentral.